AAGACGAUUAGAUACCGU
This 18-nucleotide unclassified non-coding RNA is filed under the name Chlamydomonas reinhardtii. Its description in RNAcentral is "small RNA Cre_0092". The record is from RNAcentral. Lineage: Eukaryota; Viridiplantae; Chlorophyta; Chlorophyceae; Chlamydomonadales; Chlamydomonadaceae.